RNAcentral lists this ribosomal RNA (460 nucleotides) under uncultured bacterium. RNAcentral describes it as "partial 16S ribosomal RNA". It matches the Rfam family "Bacterial small subunit ribosomal RNA", at positions 338 to 795 of the family's 1533-position model. The record is from RNAcentral.
GCUACGGGCGGCAGCAGUGAGGAAUAUUGGUCAAUGGGCGCGAGCCUGAACCAGCCAAGUAGCGUGAAGGAUGACUGCCCUACGGGUUGUAAACUUCUUUUAUAAAGGAAUAAAGUGAGGCACGUGUGCCUUUUUGUCUGUACUUUAUGAAUAAGGAUCGGCUAACUACGUGCCAGAAGCCGCGGUAAUACGGGGGAUCCGAGCGUUAUCCGGAUUUAAUGGGGUUAAAGGGAGCGUAGAUGGGUUGUUAAGUAAGUUGUGAAAGUUUGCGGCUCAACCGUAAAAUUGCAAUUGAUACUGGCAGCCUUGAGUACAGUUGAGGUAGGCGGAAUUCGUGGUGUAGCGGUGAAAUGCUUAGAUAUCACGAAGAACUCCGAUUGCGAAGGCAGCCUACUAAACUGCCACUGACAUUGAUGCUCGAAAGUGUGGGUAUCAAACAGGAUUAGAUACCCCUGUAGUC